Molecule: transfer RNA, 73 nt
Filed under: Myotis brandtii (Brandt's bat)
Lineage: Eukaryota; Metazoa; Chordata; Mammalia; Chiroptera; Vespertilionidae
Rfam family: tRNA
About the family: Transfer RNA (tRNA) molecules are approximately 80 nucleotides in length. Their secondary structure includes four short double-helical elements and three loops (D, anti-codon, and T loops).
Source: Rfam by way of RNAcentral
GCCAGUUUGGCUCAGUGGAUAGAGCGUUGGCCUGUGGAGUGAAGGGUCGCGGGUUUGAUUCCAGUCAAAGGCA